RNAcentral lists this ribosomal RNA (342 nucleotides) under uncultured Glomeromycotina. RNAcentral describes it as "eukaryotic LSU rRNA". The record is from RNAcentral. Lineage: Eukaryota; Fungi; Glomeromycota.
AUCAGCUUUUUGAGUGUGAUUAUGUGGAUUGUGAGGAGUUUAAUCACCCUCAUAUUUUACGUAUUCGUGCUCUUUGGUGUACUUGCCCGUGUGGUAGGUUAACAUCAAUUUUGGUCGUCAUAAAAUGACUGGAGGAAUGUAGCUUUGGUCUCGUAUCGAAGUGUUAUAGACUCUGGUAGAUGUGACGAUUGGGAUUGAGGAUUGCAACGGAUACCCUUCGGGGCUACUCGUCUGAUCUCUGAAGGUUGCUCCGGUGCCGAAAGCGUGCUUACGGUCAUCGAAAGUGAUUUUCAAAAGGUUAGAACGGGUUAAAUUCGUUAAGGAUGUUGACGUAAUGGCUUU